Molecule: long non-coding RNA, 1213 nt
Filed under: Populus tremula
Lineage: Eukaryota; Viridiplantae; Streptophyta; Magnoliopsida; Malpighiales; Salicaceae
Description: long non-coding RNA (PTRE_LNC002135)
Source: RNAcentral
GAAAAACCUAGCAACUUUUUGCCUAUAAAUACUGGUCUUUAACUCACACAAAAAGGGGGGGGCAAUUUUGAAACUUCAGCAAAAAUACAAAAGAAAAAACCCUAAACCUGUCUUUUGUUUUCUCCAAACAGCUUACCCAAAAGAGCCGCCCCGCCCCCCGGUUUGAAAUUUUUUUGAACCUCCAGUCGUUGCUCCUUCUCGCCCAAGGCCCCUUCCCCUCUCGUUUUUUUUAAUUUUUUUUUUCUUCUCUUCAACCGGAGCCAAAAAUCACAGCCCCCAGCCGGUUUGAAUUUUUUUCUCAGCCACCCGAACACCCCCAUCACCAUCGCCGGCCUACAUCGUUUCUUCUCCCUUCCCCAGCCAAGGUAAGAAAAACAAAGUUGGCCGCUCCCCCCCCCUACUGGACUUUUGGAUUUUUCCUUCCCCACAACAGCUGCCCGAAACAUCACAGCCUUCGUCUCUAUCCCGUCGGACCCAUCAACACUGAAGCACCUCUCUCGGCAGCAUCUUCUUCUUUGAUCCACUCAGCAGCGACCCACAGCCUCAGCAGCGGCGCCCCCUCCAACACCGAACAGAGGCCCAGCAGCGGCGUCUCCUCAUCCCAUCGGCGCCGUCCACUCCAUCAACCAUAGCAGCGCCGCCUUCAACUAGCCACUAAUCCCUCGUCGCCCUCUGCAAACCGCCGAUCUGCCCUCCACGACAGUCUCCAUCUCGGCGGCGCUCCUCUCAGCCAUCAACAACCAUGGACAACAAUCGCCAGAUCUGUCACUGGAAGAAGGGAAGAACGACAAACUAUAACUGAAAAAAAGAAGACCGAAACAGAUCUGAAGGAAAGAAAGAAAUAAAAUCAACUGCCUUUUAUGCGUUUUUCUCCUCUUUGCAGGUGGCGGCGAUUCUCACCGCUGGAAGGGAAUGGAGGAAGAGAAGAAGCCGAGACAGACCCACAUGGUUUCUGGUAUUUUUUUCGGCGGCGCGUGAACCCACGCGCCGCCAGUGGCGGUGGCACAUGGGGAGACGCGCCGCCAGUGUCCAGCUGCCCAGAAGAUGCUCCCAGCACUGUUCCAGCGGGUUGCAGGAGUCCUUCCCUGCAAUUUCUAGAAUUUUAGGGACAUGUUUUUGUAAAUUUUAAAUUAUGUAAUGUAAUUUUUAUUUAUUUAUUUUGAAUUUCAAUUUGAAUUUUGUAUUUGUAUUUUGUAUGAUGGAUGUAAUAAAA